GACGAACGCUGGCGGCGUGCUUAACACAUGCAAGUCGAACGGUAAGGCCCUUCGGGGUACACGAGUGGCGAACGGGUGAGUAACACGUGGGUGAUCUGCCCUGCACUUCGGGAUAAGCCUGGGAAACUGGGUCUAAUACCGGAUAGGACCACUGCCUGCAUGGGUGGUGGUGGAAAGCUUUUGCGGUGUGGGGUGGGCCCGCGGCCUAUCAGCUUGUUGGUGGGGUGAUGGCAUACCAAGGCGACGACGGGUAGCCGGCCUGAGAGGGUGACCGGCCAGACUGGGACUGAGCUACGGCCCAGGCACCUACGGGGGGCAGCAGUGGGGAAUAUUGCACAAUGGGCGCAAGCCUGAUGCAGCGACGGCGCGUGAGGGAUGACGGCCUUCGGGUUGUAAACCUCUUUCAGCACCGACGAAGCGCAAGUGACGGUAGGUGCAGAAGAAGGACCGGCCAACUACGUGCCAGCCGCCGCAGUAA
Molecule: ribosomal RNA, 478 nt
Filed under: uncultured bacterium
Lineage: Bacteria
Description: partial 16S ribosomal RNA
Rfam family: Bacterial small subunit ribosomal RNA
Source: RNAcentral